This 497-nucleotide ribosomal RNA is filed under the name uncultured bacterium. RNAcentral describes it as "partial 16S ribosomal RNA". It matches the Rfam family "Bacterial small subunit ribosomal RNA", at positions 28 to 507 of the family's 1533-position model. The record is from RNAcentral.
GAUGAACGCUGGCGGCGUGCCUAAUACAUGCAAGUCGAGCGAACGGACGAGAAGCUUGCUUCUCUGAUGUUAGCGGCGGACGGGUGAGUAACACGUGGAUAACCUACCUAUAAGACUGGGAUGACUUCGGAAAACCGGAGCUAAUACCGGCUAAUAUUUUGAACCGCAUGGUUCAAAAGUGAAAGACGGUCUUGCUGUCACUUAUAGAUGGUUCCGCGCUGCAUUAGCUAGUUGGUAAGGUAACGGCUUACCAAGGCAACGAUGCAUAGCCGACCUGAGAGGGUGAUCGGCCACACUGGAACUGAGACACGGUCCAGACUCCUACGGGAGGCAGCAGUAGGGAAUCUUCCGCAAUGGGCGAAAGCCUGACGGAGCAACGCCGCGUGAGUGAUGAAGGUCUUCGGAUCGUAAAACUCUGUUAUUAGGGAAGAACAGAUGUGUAAGUAACUGUGCACAUCUUGACGGUACCUAAUCAGAAAGCCACGGCUAACUACGUG